GAUGAACGCUGGCGGCGUGCCUAAUACAUGCAAGUCGAGCGAACAGAUGAGGAGCUUGCUCCUCUGACGUUAGCGGCGGACGGGUGAGUAACACGUGGAUAACCUACCUAUAAGACUGGGAUAACUUCGGGAAACCGGAGCUAAUACCGGAUAAUAUAUUGAACCGCAUGGUUCAAUAGUGAAAGACGGUUUUGCUGUCACUUAUAGAUGGAUCCGCGCCGCAUUAGCUAGUUGGUAAGGUAACGGCUUACCAAGGCAACGAUGCGUAGCCGACCUGAGAGGGUGAUCGGCCACACUGGAACUGAGACACGGUCCAGACCCCUACGGGAGGCAGCAGUAGGGAAUCUUCCGCAAUGGGCGAAAGCCUGACGGAGCAACGCCGCGUGAGUGAUGAAGGUCUUCGGAUCGUAAAACUCUGUUAUUAGGGAAGAACAAAUGUGUAAGUAACUAUGCACGUCUUGACGGUACCUAAUCAGAAAGCCACGGCUAACUACGUG
RNAcentral lists this ribosomal RNA (497 nucleotides) under uncultured bacterium. RNAcentral's name for it is "partial 16S ribosomal RNA". It matches the Rfam family "Bacterial small subunit ribosomal RNA", at positions 28 to 507 of the family's 1533-position model. The record is from RNAcentral.